UUGCGAAACCGCCCUGACCAUAUUCCUGACGCCGGGAAAAUGGUCAGAGACGGUCUGCCGGGCGUGGCGGCUCGGCACUGAUGAGCAGCCUGUC
RNAcentral lists this non-coding RNA (94 nucleotides) under Desulfosarcina sp. OttesenSCG-928-B08. Lineage: Bacteria; Pseudomonadati; Thermodesulfobacteriota; Desulfobacteria; Desulfobacterales; Desulfosarcinaceae. The record is from RNAcentral. RNAcentral also lists the same sequence under 1 other name.